RNAcentral lists this ribosomal RNA (253 nucleotides) under uncultured bacterium. Its description in RNAcentral is "partial 16S ribosomal RNA". It matches the Rfam family "Bacterial small subunit ribosomal RNA", at positions 524 to 776 of the family's 1533-position model. The record is from RNAcentral.
GACGUAGGGCGCGAGCGUUGUCCGGAUUUAUUGGGCGUAAAGGGCUCGUAGGUGGCCAACUAAGUCAGACGUGAAAUCCCUCGGCUUAACCGGGGAACUGCGUCUGAUACUGGAUGGCUUGAGUUUGGGAGAGGGAUGCGGAAUUCCAGGUGUAGCGGUGAAAUGCGUAGAUAUCUGGAGGAACACCGGUGGCGAAGGCGGCAUCCUGGACCAACACUGACACUGAGGAGCGAAAGCCAGGGGAGCAAACGGG